Molecule: long non-coding RNA, 226 nt
Filed under: Brassica napus (rape)
Lineage: Eukaryota; Viridiplantae; Streptophyta; Magnoliopsida; Brassicales; Brassicaceae
Description: long non-coding RNA (BNAP_LNC017674)
Source: RNAcentral
AAACAAUCUCAACCUUUGAUUCAAUUUUUUUGCUUUUUUUCUUAUUCUCUUUUCUUCAUUUCCCCUGACAUUUAAUAUGAUCUAUAAUUUAUUUACCAAUAUAGUUUAGCCAAAUAAUAAUAUUAGAAUAAAUCAUACAUUUUUUUACAUAUACUGUAUUUUAAAUUUUUCAAACGUAUAUUUAUUUCUUUCAAAAUAUAUAAAUUGUUAUUACUACGAAUAUCUC